RNAcentral lists this ribosomal RNA (253 nucleotides) under uncultured bacterium. RNAcentral's name for it is "partial 16S ribosomal RNA". It matches the Rfam family "Bacterial small subunit ribosomal RNA", at positions 524 to 776 of the family's 1533-position model. The record is from RNAcentral.
UACGUAGGGUGCGAGCGUUAAUCGGAAUUACUGGGCGUAAAGCGUGCGCAGGCGGUUGUGCAAGACAGGUGUGAAAUCCCCGGGCUUAACCUGGGAACUGCACUUGUGACUGCACGGCUGGAGUACGGCAGAGGGGGAUGGAAUUCCGCGUGUAGCAGUGAAAUGCGUAGAUAUGCGGAGGAACACCGAUGGCGAAGGCAGUCCCCUGGGCCUGUACUGACGCUCAUGCACGAAAGCGUGGGGAGCAAACAGG